Molecule: ribosomal RNA, 253 nt
Filed under: uncultured bacterium
Lineage: Bacteria
Description: partial 16S ribosomal RNA
Rfam family: Bacterial small subunit ribosomal RNA
Source: RNAcentral
UACAGAGGGUGCGAGCGUUGUUCGGAAUUAUUGGGCGUCAAGGGCGCGUAGGCGGCUUGGCAAGUGGAAGGUGAAAUCCCUCGGCUUAACCGAGGAACUGCCCUCCAAACUGCUUGGCUUGAGACCGGGAGAGGUGAGUGGAAUUCCCAGUGUAGCGGUGAAAUGCGUAGAUAUUGGGAGGAACACCAGUGGCGAAGGCGGCUCACUGGACCGGUACUGACGCUGAUGCGCGAAAGCGUGGGGAGCAAACGGG